This 387-nucleotide unclassified non-coding RNA is filed under the name Hevea brasiliensis (rubber tree). Lineage: Eukaryota; Viridiplantae; Streptophyta; Magnoliopsida; Malpighiales; Euphorbiaceae. The record is from RNAcentral.
AAGCCGAUGUGCCUGGCUCGUCAGUGCCGUCAAGGCAGUCACAAAAGUCAUCGUUGAGCUGAGCUUUGGUGAAUUUCUUCGAUCCAUCUUUACAUUUUAUCGUCUCUGAUGAUAUCUUGUAGUAUUUCUCAUCUUGAGGAGGAAUUCCAAGAAAUGGGUCUUUAGGGACGGCAGAUUUAGCAAUGGAAGAUAUACACAACACUCCCAGCACAAGACCAUACAUCAACACUGAAGCAUCCAUUUUCAUUUUCGCUAAAUUAGUUGAAAAUUCACUAAACACGAUCAAUUAUAGCAUCUAAUACAGCUCAUCACUUAGACAAAAUUUCUCAGCUACCCACUGAAGUAACCCACGGAGAGAAUUAUAGAUGAAGGGAAAGUGGGAGUCAG